AUCACCCCGGAACUGAAGCAUGCGCGGACUGUUGUGAAAACACAUUCUGUUGUUUACUCUGUAUAGUGAAGAUUUCUCCAGAGUUCCUGAAUCAGCUAAGCCAUUAGCAACCUCCAAACUCCUAGCCUUCAAAAUUCCAGCCUCGGACCUCACGACUUCUGAACUCCUGGCUUCAGAACUCUCAGCCUUGGAUCUCACGGCCUCCGACUUGCAGGCUCGGAACUCUCAGCCUCAGCACAGACCCGACGAGGCGUCCUCUUGGACCGUUAUGAUGGUCUGCCGGCCCAGCAUGGCUUCGGCAUGAACUUCUGUCUCAAGGUGAUUCCAGAGCAUUCUCCUGGCCUCAUGAACCCUGAGCUGAAGCCAGGCAUGGUCUGGAGUUGAAGCCCAGUGCAAACUGGAGGCUAAGUGCCAGCAUGAACUGGGUAGGAAGACCUGUUCUGAACUUUUUUCUCCAUUUUAUAAUUUAUUCCAAUAAUCUGCAG
Molecule: long non-coding RNA, 485 nt
Organism: Rhincodon typus (whale shark)
Lineage: Eukaryota; Metazoa; Chordata; Chondrichthyes; Orectolobiformes; Rhincodontidae
Exons: 3
Source: RefSeq, a predicted model, not a curated record